CCUACGGGAGGCAGCAGUAAGGAAUAUUGGUCAAUGGACGCAAGUCUGAACCAGCCAUGCCGCGUGAAGGAUUAAGGUCCUCUGGAUUGUAAACUUCUUUUAUUUGGGACGAAAAAAGGGCCUUUCUAGGUCAACUGACGGUACCAGAUGAAUAAGCACCGGCUAACUCCGUGCCAGCAGCCGCGGUAAUACGGAGGGUGCAAGCGUUAUCCGGAUUCACUGGGUUUAAAGGGUGCGUAGGCGGGUAGGUAAGUCAGUGGUGAAAUCCUGGAGCUCAACUCCAGAACUGCCAUUGAUACUAUUUAUCUUGAAUAUUGUGGAGGUAAGCGGAAUAUGUCAUGUAGCGGUGAAAUGCUUAGAUAUGACAUAGAACACCUAUUGCGAAGGCAGCUUACUACGCAUAUAUUGACGCUGAGGCACGAAAGCGUGGGGAUCAAACAGGAUUAGAUACCCUGGUAGUCCACGCCCUAAACUAACUGAUUACUCGACAUUUGUUGAUACACAAUAAAGUAGUCUGAGCGAAAGCAUUAAGUAAUCCACCUGGAAGUACGUCCGCGAAGGAUGAAACUUAAAUAGAAUUAGACGG
RNAcentral lists this ribosomal RNA (586 nucleotides) under uncultured bacterium. RNAcentral describes it as "bacterial SSU rRNA". It matches the Rfam family "Bacterial small subunit ribosomal RNA", at positions 338 to 916 of the family's 1533-position model. The record is from RNAcentral.